This is a non-coding RNA of Sus scrofa (pig), 72 nucleotides long. The record is from Rfam. Lineage: Eukaryota; Metazoa; Chordata; Mammalia; Artiodactyla; Suidae.
UCCCUGGUGGUCUAGUGGUUAGGAUUUGGUGCUUCCACCACUGCAGCCUAGGUUCAAUUCCUGGUGUGGAAA